Molecule: long non-coding RNA, 326 nt
Organism: Octodon degus (degu)
Lineage: Eukaryota; Metazoa; Chordata; Mammalia; Rodentia; Octodontidae
Exons: 2
Source: RefSeq, a predicted model, not a curated record
CAUCUUUGUUGAUGUGUCAGCUCCGCGGGGGUUUUGGCGAGCGGCGGCGGUGGAGAGAGUCGGGGAAUUGUCUCUUAUCUCCACCGCCGUCUUUUCCGCCCACUCGUGGUCUGGCGGUCCCACCAUGAAAAAGUUGACCCUUGAGCCGGAGCGCCAGAGGUCCCGUUGGGGUGCGGCCUGAGGCUUGGAGAAGUGCGAUUCCUCAUCUUCUGCACAUUAGUUUCUGACUUUCUGGGCUGCAUUUCUGUUGCAAUAGCAUUAGCUAGUCAAUUAACUGGUCAUGUGAAAACUGCUUCAUUCUUGGAUUGCUUUCUAAAAAUUGGUAA